GAUGAACGCUGGCGGCGUGCCUAAUACAUGCAAGUCGAGCGACCAGACGAGGAGCUUGCUCCUCUAACGUUAGCGGCGGACGGGUGAGUAACACGUGGAUAACCUUCCUAUAAUACUGGGAUAACUUCGGGAAACCGGAGCUAAUACCGGAUAAUAUAUUCAACCGCAUGAUUCAAUAGUGAAAGACGCUUUUGCUGUCACUUAUAGAUGGUUCCGCGCCGCAUUAGCUAGUUGGUAAGGUAACGGCUUACCAAGGCGACGAUGCGUAGCCGACCUGAGAGGAUGAUCGGCCACACUGGAACUGAGACACGGUCCAGACUCCUACGGGAGGCAGCAGUAGGGAAUCUUCCGCAAUGGGCGAAAGCCUGACGGAGCAACACCGCGUGAGUGAUGAAGGUCUUCGGAUCGUAAAACUCUGUUGUUAGGGAAGAACAAAUGUGUAAGUAACUAUGCACGUCUUGACGGUACCUAAUCAGAAAGCAACGGCUAACUACGUG
Molecule: ribosomal RNA, 497 nt
Filed under: uncultured bacterium
Lineage: Bacteria
Description: partial 16S ribosomal RNA
Rfam family: Bacterial small subunit ribosomal RNA
Source: RNAcentral